RNAcentral lists this ribosomal RNA (280 nucleotides) under uncultured bacterium. RNAcentral describes it as "partial 16S ribosomal RNA". It matches the Rfam family "Archaeal small subunit ribosomal RNA", at positions 456 to 735 of the family's 1478-position model. The record is from RNAcentral.
UGCCAGCAGCCGCGGUAAAACCAGCACCUCAAGUGGUCAGGAUGAUUAUUGGGCCUAAAACAUCCGUAGCUUGCUUCUUAAGUUCCCUGUGAAAUUUUGUAUCUCAAAUACGAAGCGGGCAGGGAGUACUGGGGAGCUAGAGACUGGAGGACGUAACGAGUACGAUCAAAGUAGUGGUAAAAUAUGUUAAUCUUGGUCGGACUAACAAUAGCGAAGGCACGUUACGAGGACAGUUCUGACAGUAAGGGAUGAAGGCUAGGGGCGCAAAACGGAUUAGAUA